GAUGAACGCCGGCGGCGUGCCUAAUACAUGCAAGUCGAGCGAACGGACGAGAAGCUUGCUUCUCUGAUGUUAGCGGCGGACGGGUGAGUAACACGUGGAUAACCUACCUAUAAGACUGGGAUAACUUCGGGAAACCGGAGCUAAUACCGGAUAAUAUUUUGAACCGCAUGGUUCAAAAGUGAAAGACGGUCUUGCUGUCACUUAUAGAUGGAUCCGCGCUGCAUUAGCUAGUUGGUAAGGUAACGGCUUACCAAGGCAACGAUGCAUAGCCGACCUGAGAGGGUGAUCGGCCACACUGGAACUGAGACACGGUCCAGACUCCUACGGGAGGCAGCAGUAGGGAAUCUUCCGCAAUGGGCGAAAGCCUGACGGAGCAACGCCGCGUGAGUGAUGAAGGUCUUCGAAUCGUANAACUCUGUUAUUAGGGAAGAACAUAUGUGUAAGUAACUGUGCACAUCUUGACGGUACCUAAUCAGAAAGCCACGGCUAACUACGUGCCAGCAGCCGCGGUAAUACGUAGGUGGCAAGCGUUAUCCGGAAAUUAUGGGCGUAAAGCGCGCGUAGCGGUUUUUUAAGUCUGAUGUGAAAGCCCACGGCUCACCCGUGGAGGGUCAUUGGAAACUGGAAAACUUGAGUGCAGAAGAGGAAAGUGGAAUUCCAUGUGUAGCGGUGAAAUGCGCAGAGAUAUGGAGGAACACCAGUGGCGAAGGCGACUUUCUGGUCUGUAACUGACGCUGAUGUGCGAAAGCGUGGGGAUCAAACAGGAUUAGAUACCCUGGUAGUCCACGCCGUAAACGAUGAGUGCUAAGUGUUAGGGGGUUUCCGCCCCUUAGUGCUGCAGCUAACGCAUUAAGCACGCCGCCUGGGGAGUACGACCGCAAGGUUGAAACUCAAAGGAAUUGACGGGGACCCGCACAAGCGGUGGAGCAUGUGGUUUAAUUCGAAGCAACGCGAAGAACCUUACCAAAUCUUGACAUCCUUUGACAACUCUAGAGAUAGAGCCUUCCCCUUCGGGGGACAAAGUGACAGGUGGUGCAUGGUUGUCGUCAGCUCGUGUCGUGAGAUGUUGGGUUAAGUCCCGCAACGAGCGCAACCCUUAAGCUUAGUUGCCAUCAUUAAGUUGGGCACUCUAAGUUGACUGCCGGUGACAAACCGGAGGAAGGUGGGGAUGACGUCAAAUCAUCAUGCCCCUUAUGAUUUGGGCUACACACGUGCUACAAUGGACAAUACAAAGGGCAGCGAAACCGCGAGGUCAAGCAAAUCCCAUAAAGUUGUUCUCAGUUCGGAUUGUAGUCUGCAACUCGACUACAUGAAGCUGGAAUCGCUAGUAAUCGUAGAUCAGCAUGCUACGGUGAAUACGUUCCCGGGUCU
RNAcentral lists this ribosomal RNA (1371 nucleotides) under uncultured bacterium. Its description in RNAcentral is "bacterial SSU rRNA". It matches the Rfam family "Bacterial small subunit ribosomal RNA", at positions 28 to 1381 of the family's 1533-position model. The record is from RNAcentral.